CUUUAGCUCAGUUGGUUAGAGCAUCUGACUGUUAAUCAGGGGGUCCUUGGUUCAAGUCCAA
This 61-nucleotide transfer RNA is filed under the name bovine gut metagenome. It matches the Rfam family "tRNA", at positions 6 to 62 of the family's 71-position model. From Rfam's summary of the family: Transfer RNA (tRNA) molecules are approximately 80 nucleotides in length. Their secondary structure includes four short double-helical elements and three loops (D, anti-codon, and T loops). The record is from RNAcentral.